RNAcentral lists this ribosomal RNA (429 nucleotides) under Verrucomicrobiota bacterium. RNAcentral's name for it is "Verrucomicrobia bacterium partial 16S ribosomal RNA". It matches the Rfam family "Bacterial small subunit ribosomal RNA", at positions 355 to 776 of the family's 1533-position model. The record is from RNAcentral. Lineage: Bacteria; Pseudomonadati; Verrucomicrobiota.
UAGGGAAUCUUCCGCAAUGGACGAAAGUCUGACGGAGCAACGCCGCGUGAGUGAAGAAGGAUUUCGGUUCGUAAAACUCUGUUGUUAGGGAAGAAAAAAUGUAUAGUAACUAUAUACAAAAGAGACGGUACCUAACCAGAAAGCCACGGCUAACUACGUGCCAGCAGCCGCGGUAAUACGUAGGUGGCAAGCGUUGUCCGGAAUUAUUGGGCGUAAAGCGCGCGCAGGUGGUUUAGAAAGUCUGAUGUGAAAGCCCACGGCUCAACCGUGGAGGGUCAUUGGAAACUAAUAAACUUGAGUGCAGGAGAGAAAAGUGGAAUUCCUAGUGUAGCGGUGAAAUGCGUAGAGAUUAGGAGGAACACCGGUGGCGAACGCGGCUUUUUGGCCUGCAACUGACACUGAGGCGCGAAAGCGUGGGGAGCAAACAGG